Non-coding RNA from Rattus norvegicus (Norway rat), 5286 nucleotides. NCBI's taxonomy places the organism in Eukaryota, Metazoa, Chordata, Mammalia, Rodentia, Muridae. The record is from RefSeq and is a predicted model, not a curated record.
ACUCCCGCAGACUGUUGCCCCUCCCCCGGGCCAAACGCUAGGCGGGAACCAACACGGUCAGGCGCGCAGCAGGAUCUGUGGCGCUUUUGGUCCAGGUGCUUCCGGCUCCCACCGGACGGAGGCCGGCUCGGUCGUGGACUCGCUCUCCCACGGAAGUGUGCUUUAGCGCACCGGAAGCCACCUCAGGGGGUGAGCCAUGGCGGGUUUGCCUGUUAGAGACCCUGCGGUGGAUCGUUCUCUGCGUUCUGUAUUCGUGGGGAACAUUCCUUAUGAAGCUACUGAAGAACAACUGAAGGACAUCUUCUCUGAGGUUGGGCCUGUUGUUAGUUUCAGAUUGGUAUACGAUAGGGAGACAGGAAAACCAAAGGGUUAUGGCUUCUGCGAAUACCAAGACCAAGAGACAGCACUUAGUGCCAUGCGGAACUUGAAUGGGCGUGAAUUCAGUGGGAGAGCACUUCGAGUGGACAAUGCUGCCAGUGAAAAGAACAAAGAGGAACUGAAGAGCCUUGGCACUGGUGCACCUGUCAUAGAGUCACCUUAUGGAGAAAGCAUCAGCCCUGAGGAUGCCCCUGAAUCCAUUAGCAAAGCUGUUGCCAGUCUUCCGCCAGAACAGAUGUUUGAACUGAUGAAACAAAUGAAGCUCUGUGUCCAGAAUAGUCCCCAGGAAGCACGAAACAUGUUGCUUCAGAACCCACAGCUGGCUUAUGCUUUGCUGCAAGCACAGGUAGUGAUGAGAAUUGUGGAUCCUGAGAUUGCCCUGAAAAUUCUGCACCGCCAGACAAAUAUCCCAACGCUGAUUUCAGGCAACCCUCAGCCAGUCCAUGUUGCCGGACCUGGCUCAGGACCCAAUGUUUCAAUGAACCAGCAGAAUCCUCAGGCCCCUCAGGCUCAAUCUUUGAGUGGAAUGCAUGUCAAUGGCGCACCUCCUAUGAUGCAAGCUUCUAUGCCAGGUGGAGUUCCAGCACCAGUGCAGAUGGCAGCUGCUGUAGCAGGACCUGGCCCUGGUUCCUUAGCCCCUGCAGGAGUCAUGCAAGCCCAAGUUGGAAUGCAAGGAGCUGGACCAGUGCCCAUGGAACGAGGACAAGGAACCUUACAGCACUCGCCCGUGGGACCCGCCGGGCCUGCAUCAAUUGAGCGAGUUCAAGGGCAGAGAACAUGGAUGAUAUGGGCAUCUGUCCGAGGCUCUACUCCCUCCCUACUGGUGUCAGGAGGCUUGGAUGGAAUUGCAGUCUUGCCAAUGCAAGACCCCAGAGCAGCUAUGCAGCGGGGAGCCUUGCCUGCCAACGUCCCAACUCCUCGUGGUCUUUUAGGUGAUGCUCCCAAUGAUCCACGGGGAGGCACUUUAAUGACCGUAACUGGAGAAGUAGAACCUAGAGCUUACCUGGGACCACCACCACCACCUCAUCAGGGCCCACCGAUGCACCACGUUCCUGGCCAUGAAGGUCGUGGACCACCACCGCAUGACAUGAGAGGAGGACCGUUAGCUGAGCCCAGACCGUUAAUGGCAGAGCCAAGAGGACCUAUGCUAGAUCAGAGGGGUCCACCGUUGGAUGCCAGAGGUGGAAGAGAUCCCCGAGGAUUAGAUGCACGAGGGAUGGAGGCCAGAGCCAUGGAAGCCAGAGGACUGGAAGCCCGUGCCAUGGAAGCCCGUGCCAUGGAAGCCCGUGCCAUGGAAGCUCGUGCCAUGGAGGCCCGAGCCAUGGAGGCUCGUGCCAUGGAGGCCAGAGGCAUGGAUACCAGAGGCCCAGUACCUGGACCUAGAGGACCUAUACCUAGUGGAAUCCAAGGCCCCAAUCCAAUGAACAUGGGGGCAGUUGUUCCCCAGGGAUCCAGACAGGUCCCAGUCAUGCAGGGAGCAGGCAUGCAAGGAGCAAGCAUGCAAGGUGGAAGCCAGCCUGGUGGCUUUAGUCCUGGACAGAGCCAAGUCACACCCCAGGAUCAUGAGAAGGUAAGCAACACUAUCUGACUGCCUCCCUGCGCACAAAUCUAGUCUUUUUGAUCUUUUCACAGUUACCAUGAAGAUCCUGGAUCUUCAAAAUCCCUUUGGAGACUCAUCUAAAAAUUGCAGUUUUUUUUCUGUGUAAGCCAAACUGACCUGAAAAUCCAAGCUCCUUUCUGCCCCUCCCCUGCCAUUUGUACCCAGUCCCUACAGAAACAGUAGCGGAUUGACCACAAGUAUAUCUUUCUGUUGCUAUACUUGGCUGUUGUUGUGAGCUUGUGUCUGGUGGAAAAGCUUAAAGUUGUGAAAUAGGGAAACUCAAAUCAGGACUCAGAACAUCCCAAGGCUCGCAGUACCAUCUUAAUGUGCAGGAACCUUGAGUUCCUCAGGUGUCUGUUUGCAUCAUCUAAUCUUAGAUGUUUUCAUUUAUUCCUGUGCUUUUCACUGUGCUUACCAGAUUUUCUUUCUUUUGGCCUGUAGUUUGUUUUGUGUGUAAAAGUGUGAAAUAUCCUCCCUUUUUUCAUCUUGCUUCAUAUCCCAUGACAGUAGCCUUUUAGCUAGAAGCUGGUGAUGUUUCUGUUUUAUUUGUUUUUCUGACUUGUCCUUGAAAUUCACAGCUUUCCUUUCCUCUGCACAGGCUGCUUUGAUUAUGCAGGUCCUUCAACUCACUGCAGACCAGAUUGCCAUGCUGCCUCCUGAGCAAAGACAGAGCAUCCUAAUCUUAAAGGAACAGAUACAGAAAUCCACCGGGGCACCUUGAAAGGUUCUCAAAAAUACCUGGCAACAAAUCUGGAAAUGUAAUUCCAUAACAUUGUUGAAAUGUUGAAAACAUAGUGACUUCUGCAUCUAACCCCCCUGGAUGACUCAGAUUGGUACCAGGUGGAGGACCUGCAUCACCAUUUCUCCAAAGGAAAACAGUUCAUUCUGAUGUCGUAGUUUGUAUAUUUUCUGUGAUGUUAAAUAAACAUUGAACAUAAGUUUAACAUAUUACAAAUUGAAAUACAUAAUCCUUUUGCUGUUAAGAAGCUAACACCAAGGAUAAAAGCUUAGCUGUGAUUUCUGACCUUACUGCAGUGUCAUUCUUUAAUCUUACAUUGCCGUAGCUCUAUUCUUACUUUAGCAUAAACAUUUAUUCUUCUUAAUGAUACUUGAGAAUUUCUCAGAAACAAUGUUUUUAGGAACUUUGUUUUUUGUUGAAUUUGCUUUCAGCAAGGUAAUAAGACUUUGGCCCUUGAAAACUUUCCAGUCUUAGAGUUUUCUGGGAGAAAAAAAGCAUGUGGUUAGAACUACAAACAAUUAGAAGACCAACAAGCGAAGAGCAUACCACAGGGGUGUGUUUGGUUUAAGGAAUGCCAAUUCUCAAACUGUGGUUUUAGUCAGUUGCAGGUCUGGACAUACAUAAGACAAAGAUUGUUUUGGCACUGGUUUGAAUGUGAAUCAACAACCUAAGACUGUUGUAAAGCUCUUCUGUCUAUGUAUCAACUUUACAAGGUUUUCUACAUGUUCAAAUUUAAUAAAGAAAACCAAGUGAACAAACUAUAUUCCAUUCUUUCAGAAAAUUGCAAAGCUUUCAGCCCUAUCAUCUUCUCUAAAUCCAUUCCAAAAACUCCCAACAGAAAACCCUAAAACUUUUACAUUUUCAAGUCUUUUAAGAGGACCAAGUACAGGAUGGCAAAUUGCCCAUUAUGGUUGCCUGCUACUUUCAAAGUACUACCUACUUGAAAGGUAAUUAGUGCCAUUAGCCUGUGCUAACUUGCAGGUUGUCUUGCCUUUUGUUCUCCCGUAGUGGCAUUAAGGAGGAACAUGGUUUCUCUCUACCAGGUCCACCUCAAGACAUUUGAAGAGUUGCCGUAAUAAUUAGUGAAGCUCACUAGCACUAAUUGUGAGCUCGUUUGUAUUCCCAGAGCCCUACUCUGCAUUAGGAUUAUGGGCACGUGAACUAAAAUCACUACUUACGGCAUAAAAAGCAUAAUCAUGCCAAGGAAAAGAAAGCAAAGCUAUUAAAAUGGAGGGAUUCUUCUCCAGACAUUGAUAAUGAAAAUUUGCUGGAUAUGUCAUACUAUAAGCUAUGAAGAAAAGCGCAGAACAACAAGCACUCCUACCUGUUCCACUCAUCCCCAGUUCAAUCGGGUGUUAAUUAUGCAUGCAGUUCAUUGUUUUCAUUACCUUCUGUGCCUCCUGCAUAAGCAGUCCUUGAUGUGUUGGUUUUGACAGCUGUUAGACUUAAAAGCACCAAUGUAUUUAGAUGCAGAGACAAAGAGGAAAAUAUUUCUAGUUGGGAGCUUGGGUUUUACACAACCAAUUCCAAAUCAAGAUAAGUAAUGCUGAAGUUAUUUGGAAAACAGUUGUCUAACAGAAACUAUAUCCUGAGAAUCCAGCAGUUUCCCAAAGCCUUCUUAAACUUAAUUUGGUUAGUAGACCUCAGGUGAAUAAGUUGACAAGAGCGGUGGCAUCCCAGUUCAUCAUUAUGGAAACACUCAUCAGUGGUUUGUUUGUUUGUUUGUUUGUUUGUUUGCUGUUAUUUUUACUGUUGUAAUAAUUCAAUUAGCUACUCCACGUUUAUGAUCUGCCUUUAUAUGUUCAGACUAAUGACUGACAAGUGAUCCCACUGAUCCUUCAAGCUAUAGGUACUUAGAUAAAUUACGAAAACAAAGUUGUUCACUCUUGAUCUAUGGUACAAAUUAGAUGGUCCAGUGCUAUCUAUAGAUUCAUUCUGUUAAAUGUAUGAGGUCCAUUGCCUGAGUACAAUGAAGUGUGGGGGUUUUUUUCUUCCUCAAGGAGCCUGCACCUUUUCUUGAAAUCCAUCAUAACUAACAUCCCAGAGCCAGUGUGGUUAUUGUCCUGGUGGAUAGGAAAAAUGAACAUGUUUGUAGGAAAAAGAAUGACAUCUUAGUGGAUGAUUCCUCAUUGAGUAAGACCUGGAAAACAGUCAAAAUUAUAACUUUUUAUUUUCUUUUUAUAACACAUUCAUAAACAAAACUCUUUAACAACAACAACAAAAAAUGGAAAGAGCUUCUGUUAAAUUACCCCACGAUGUAGGUCAGGCCUUUCCAGUUAUUUCAAACAAUACAAACUGGCAAUAUAGUUGGCUUCUAACUAUAAUACAAAUUUGAUUCCAGUUAAUAUACUUAAGAUAUUACUAGGGAAAGUCAGCAAAAUUGUUCAAUAAGCAAAGAUGAAGAUUAUUUUGGCACAGUAAAGUAUAAAUUGUUGGUCACACUGGAUGAUAAGCUCAUGUAUAACGAUGUACUUAGUGGGUAUGAUAUGGGAGUGGGAAUCUUGGUAAUUUUAUGUUUAUUAUUUAUGAUUAUUGUUUUGUCGUGGAUUCAAUAAAUAUUUUAAAAUCA